This 253-nucleotide ribosomal RNA is filed under the name uncultured bacterium. RNAcentral's name for it is "partial 16S ribosomal RNA". It matches the Rfam family "Bacterial small subunit ribosomal RNA", at positions 524 to 776 of the family's 1533-position model. The record is from RNAcentral.
UACGAAGGGGGCUAGCGUUGUUCGGAUUUACUGGGCGUAAAGGGCGCGUAGGCGGUCUGCUAAGCGUGCGGUGAAAGCCUGGGGCUCAACCCCAGGUCUGCCGUGCGAACUGGUGGACUAGAGCACUGUAGAGGCAGGUGGAAUUUCGGGUGUAGCGGUGGAAUGCGUAGAGAUCCGAAAGAACACCGGUGGCGAAGGCGGCCUGCUGGGCAGUUGCUGACGCUGAGGCGCGACAGCGUGGGGAGCAAACAGG